Molecule: ribosomal RNA, 253 nt
Filed under: uncultured bacterium
Lineage: Bacteria
Description: partial 16S ribosomal RNA
Rfam family: Bacterial small subunit ribosomal RNA
Source: RNAcentral
UACGAAGGGGGCUAGCGUUGCUCGGAAUCACUGGGCGUAAAGGGUGCGUAGGCGGGUUUUUAAGUCAGAGGUGAAAUCCUGGAGCUCAACUCCAGAACUGCCUUUGAUACUGAAAGUCUUGAGUAUGGGAGAGGUGAGUGGAACUGCGAGUGUAGAGGUGAAAUUCGUAGAUAUUCGCAAGAACACCAGUGGCGAAGGCGGCUCACUGGCCCAUAACUGACGCUGAGGCGCGAAAGCGUGGGGAGCAAACAGG